UCAGAUUGCAGCUCUUCUCAGAGGGAUUUUGUGCUUUUGGGAAGCACUAAAUGGCCUGCUUCUUCAAAUGCAAAACUCCAGAGCUCUUGGUGCUGAGAUGAUCCCUGUUAUGAGACCAACCAGAAAUCGCGCAAAAAAAAAAUAAAAAAAUCUUUUUCGGCAAGCUUUGGGGCACGCACGCUUUUUCCCUUCUUCAGGCUCGGGGAAAAUUUAAAGAUGGUAAAAGGUCUCCAUAGGUAGAAAAUAAACUUGUAAAUGGUAUUUAAAGAAGCAUUUAAACAACAGGCUGGAGGGGUGUGCGUGCGCUUGGGAGAGAUGAAGAUGCAUGUCUGCAGGGGAGACUCUUGUGUGGACCCUUCUCUGUUUCCUCUGUGAAGUGUCUGUAACUUGAGCACAGGCUCCCCUGACCCCUUUGUGCCUCUGUUUCCUUGGACACCAGAGGCAGGAAAUAACUAGUACCAAACACAACACACUGCAGCCGGACUCCAGCCUCCUGCUCCAGGGCCAGGGCCCUCUGCCUGGGAUCAUGAAGGAUCUACUGACCACACGAGACCAGGAUCGCUGGAAGGAGUUGAUUGAGAAGGAGUUAUUCAGUAGAGUCGGCUGGAACACCAAAUACGGGCACAAAUUUCCCAGGCUCCAGCCCUGCAGUGGUCCCAAGAGGAAAUGCUUUCUGCCGACUAUCUUCUCCCCCAGGGAGCAGGAGGAAGGGACCAGUCCCUUCAGGAAUCAGGGGGAGGGAACUGGUUUCAAGAAAAAUGGGAUAAGCUAUCAAGAGAGGCAGCCAAAGGAUGUUGGCCUUCCCAGGAAGCAGGAAGAGAGGGUUCAGGAGCCCCUUCUUCCAGAGAUGAGACCUGCAUCCCCAGGAACAAUGCGUCUGCUGUACCAGGGCAUAUCCCGGGAGGGCAAAGGCAGGCACCUGUAUCUGCAGGAGAGAAAGCAGAAGAGCCCAGAGGAUAAAUUCUCUUAUCCAAUGCUGUCAUCCUGGGAGUAUGGCUGGCGCUUAGGAGGUGUCAUUACAGAAGGCAAGGCUCCAGCGCAUGCCAAGUCUAGAAUUGUAAGGGAUACUUUCUACAUCAAGAAUGGAAUCUUCCACCAUCCAUCAAAAAGUGACAAGUUAUCGUGAGCUUUGAUGUUUGCUGUGUGUAUUAGUAAUGCAGAACUGUGGGCUUGUUGCCUAGCAGGGCUGUUUGUUUUUAAGUCAAGUUAUGCAAACUCAGUAACGAUUUCCCUCUUUAAUUGCCCAUUCUAUGGGAAAGAAGUUUUAAGGUUUCUUACUCAGACCCUCCUCUACUUACUACAUAAUUUAACUUUCAAACUUAUUUUAAAUGCACUUUUUGGACUUACUUGCAUGUGCCAGAUAAACUGUCUCUUGGUUUGAUACGAAACCAUAGGUUUUCCUGUGCUGCUUUGUUUUUAUUUGUCCUUUUUAAAGACUCUACAAAUUAAUGAGUCUAGAGGUUACUUGUGUGGAGCUAAACAACAGGCACCGAGUCGAACAACACUCAUUCAGGGAAAGACGUAAUACAUUUGUAGGUAGUAAAAUGUAUAAAAAUGGUACUUCUAAACUAAAUAUUCUGUCAUUUUAUAUAGUAUCUAAUAACCUCAGGCUUUCACUGCAAUUUGGUAGUCACUUGAAGUCUCCUUUAAUGUCUUUCCAGGGCUAUAAAUUACUAGAGAACCUAACUAUUAUGGGGUCUCCAAAGAUCAGUAGCUUCUAAAACAACACCAUAUUUUACCCUUAAAUGACUCGGAUGUAAACAUGGGAGUCUGAAACCAUGAGUUUUCAUCUCUUUCUGGUACUUACUAGCUCAAAAUUGGAAAGAAAUUUACUUAACUGUUAUAUCUGUGUUUGUGAAAGCACUUGAGGAAUGAAACAUGGUUAACUCUUUUUAACACAGCAUCUGAUGAAGUAAACCUACAAAAGCUUAUGGUGUAUAUCUCUGAUUUAAUUGGUCUGUAAUGUGCCAAUCUACUCUGCCUUGUGCCCAGCUCUUUUUUGUCAUUAAAAUCAGUCUCCCUCAGAAGCCUUCAUUUUUUUUUUUUUAAAUCAAUGCCUUUCAACAGUUCAUGAAAUUUCUUUUACCUUUUUCACCUUUUCUUCGGCUUCUUUCGUGAUUCCAGCCUUCAUAUAGCCAUCUUAUCCUGUGCUCUUCCCUGCACAAGAAGAGGGGCCAGAGAGCUCCCAGGGUGGCGCAAAAAAUGAUACAGAGGAGAGGGCCCAAGUCAUAGCGAAGGCUACUUUGGGUUGCGUUAGCUCUACACUGGUUUUGUGCUUAGCAUGUUUGAAGUCAGCCAAGGGUAUUGUACAAGGCCACUCAUUUCUUGCCCCAUACCUAGGUCUUCCCACACCUCCUCAUACUCCUCGUGCUCCUUAUACCUUCUGGGUGCCACCGGAGGAGGAGGGUAUGCUGAUGCUAUAAAAUUGGCAUCCUCAGCCCUUUCCUUGCCUACACUCCUUCUAUAUCCACCCCAGUCAGAUUUACUAGGCCUGGAUCACUUUGUCACUGUCUUGGGCAGUCAGCCCUCAAGUUAUUUCAAUCCUUGUUUAUUGGUGAUAUAGACUUAUGAUUUAGAAGUGAUGAUUGGUGAUAUAGACUUAUGUACUCGGUAAGAAUCAAUCUGCUGCUACAGACCAACCGUUGAUGGUCUUCAUCUAUCUCUGCAUCUUUGUUUCCUCAGGAAACCACUGCAUGUUGUGUUAACCCUCAAAUGAUACAGCUGAAGCACGAACAGUAAAACUGUGCCUCAAGCACAAAAGCAGCUAAGGAAUCUCUGUGGGGUCCAGUAAUUAGGGGAAGGAAGAACAGCAAAUAAUACUCUGCAAGAAAUAGCUUGGAAAAGUUCUUAUGCGGAGCUCUGUAGUGUGAAUGGUAUUCUGUACCUACCCCAGAUGUGUCUGCGCCAUUGGAAAAAAUUCUCUGGUACAAAUGCCUGUCUGGAAAGGUCAAACUUCCUGGUUCAUAUUAGUGAAUGUUUAUUUUAAAAUUAACUUUCCCCAUAUGAUGGUAACUCAAACAUAUGAAAACAUCUUAACUAAACAUUUAUUAAUAUGUGCUGUGAAGCCUGCUAUUUCAAGGGAAAUGUAUGAAUCUCCCAAAGUUUCCCUGCACUGUGCACCCCAGCAUGAAGAGGGAAAAUGACUACCCAGCAUUCUUUCUGUCGUUCCGUGAAGCGCCACAGGUCAAUACCAAGGCCUCCCUCAGAGCCCAACCGGAAAUAGCCUGAUCUACCAAAGCAAUUUGUCAUUAAAAGUCUACAAUUGUAAUUAAUAAUCAAUAGGUGGAUUCUUUUGAAAGGUUAUCAAAAUAGUUCUGUUGGAGUAAAAAAUCUGUUUCUUGCCAAAUAUUCGUUUUAAGUUGAUACUUUACAAAGACCCUUUGGGAACAGGUCUUUAUGGUAUACUUUAGAAUUGUCAGACUUUUAUGUUUCACAUUCAUAACUGUGCAUACAUCUGCGUGUUUUGAAUGGUAUAGGGUUAUACAAAGUUAUUGCUGUCACCAAGUCUAUCAACUUUCCUAGGAUUUAUACCUUGCUUAACUCUCAAUUCAUUUUAGGAGGAUAACAUUCAGGUUUUUUAUAACAUAAAGAAAAGGCAAAUCUAUCUGAUAUUACUUCAUUAAAAAAGGGUGGGAGAGUAUAUAGAAGAGGAGGCAUAUGAACAGAUAUUUGGCAGUUCUUUAGCAUUCUUUAACUGUUUAAGGUCCCAGUACUGCAAAUGCUGACACAUGUGAUUAAUUUAAAGCAUGCGUGCAGUCCCAUUAACAGCGCUGGCGUUCAGUAUGAAAAACUGUCUGACAAAAUGAUGCCCUUUUUCUUAAUCACUAUAUCAUACUUAAAUAGAGGUUUCUGGUUCCAUUGCCAGUAUGUAAAUUCCUAUUUCUGAAUUGCUAUUCUUGUUGACCUAUAAAAUACAAUGCAGGCAUUAACAUCUGAGAAUAUGAAAAUACUCCAUUUACAAUUAUAUUUUAUGUGUAAGCCCUCAGUGGUGGUGGUUUUUAUUUAAUAACAAGUAAACCAAGCCUGUGUAUGGAAAGAAAAGAAAUAGUUUUAUGAUAAAUAAUAAUGAAAGGUUUGUUUUAAUUAACCUUUUAGGCUAAGUACAGACAGUCAAAAAGCCUAAGGCUGAAUCGAUUCAGUCUUUGCAGGUCAGUCUAAGUUGUAGAGGUUAAACUGAGAAACAACUGGACAGACAUUCAGUUUUGAUUCAGGAAUUGCAGCCCCAUGCCUGAAGUAGCUCAGGGCAGAAGCUGGGGGGCACUACAGCAUGGCUCUCUGGCACGUAACCAACAUGAGCUGUAUGUUUGCUUCCUCUUCCUGCUGCCCCCAAGCUCUAUGGGAUUUGCAGUCCAGAAUCACAACAGCAGGACUCUGCAGGGUUGCUCAUCACUUCCUCUUCCUGCUUCCAGGUGACUCUAGGAUUUGUUGCAGCCAGCAGUAAGUUUUUAGCAGGGCAGGGCAACUCUGUAUUUGAGGGAAGGGAAGUUUAAACCCCCUCCCUAGCCCCAGACCCCAGCCAGGGUUUGCUGGGGGAGAGGGGGGGCAGUCCCUGCCUCUUCCCCCUCCCCCUCCCAACCCUUCUCUGCUGGAGCAGACAGCACAGCCAAGCCCAGGGCUGGAAAGCAUGCUGGGAUGUUGAGGGAGUGAUUUAACCUGAACCAGGAAGGGGUCUGGGACAGAAGUUUCAUAAACCAGUUUGACCCAAAUCAGUUAAGUCUGAUACUACAUUCAACCAACUUUAUCUUUAAACCAGUUUCAACCAUUUUGAAACUUGUUUAUGUACAUUGAGCUUCUGUUCUGUUACAGGUUUAAACCAAAUUCUGAUGACUUAAACUGGUUUAUGUGUAACUUCUGUCCCUAGCCUUAAAAACAGAGCUUGAUUAGCAUGUGUGCAGUAACACAUCGGUGUUUCAUGUGAAGAACUCCAGAUGAAAAUCACAAGUUCAGCGAGACUGACAGACAUAUUUAGUUGUGUUUGAGUAAUGUGUGUUGUUAGGGUGUCCCCUUGUGGCACUGUUGAGGGGGAUUUUUUUUGCUAGGUGGGUGGGGUGGUUUGAUAGGACUUACGUUGCAGCCUAAUUGCAUCUAUUUAAAAGCUAAAUAAAGAAUCCCUGAGGCACUGGGACUCUCCAGAAAAAAACAUGGAGGGGCAGGCAAUACCUCAAGAUUUUCCUCCCAGAAUACUUCUGAAUUCUGCUGGCAAGUGUUGCUUCUGGCGAACACUGCUGCUGGUGGAAGCAGGAGACUGUUGUAAAAGCCAGCAGAUCCUGUGAGAUCUGCAUGGAGGUCAGGGGUAUCUGAAAGGAGGCCUCGCACCACCACAUUGUUUGCAGCUCUCUGCAUGGCUCCUAUGGAGAGACAGGCCGUGCUUUUUUUGCACCCUGAUGCCAAGUUAGCACCUCCUUGAAGUAGCUUUCCCUCUCAGGAGUUAAUACAAGCUGCAGAAAGAGGAUACCCAGUCUUGAUACAUGCCUGAUGAGACCUCACCAAAGAUCUAGGAGAAAAAGGAUUCCUAGUACCUGAUGUGCACGCUUUUAGGAGUGUGCAAAGCGGUCCAUAUUCGAUUCGGAUUCGGCCUAGUUCAGGGGGCAGUGAUUUGAUUUGCUGGUUCAGAUCACUGUCCCAAUUCGUUUCGGCCAAAUCUGAAGAUUCAAUUCUGAUUUGGAGAAUCAGCAUUUCGACCAUAGACACAGCUUUAUAUUAGUGUGAUGUGAGAUUUCAGUGGGUGUUUCAUUUUGAAGCUGUUUCCACGCGUUUGGAGCUCGAAACAGCGAAAUCGAAAUAGCUAAAUCGAAAUGAAAUGAAAGGCUUUGAAACAGCUUUGAAACGAAAUGAGGGCACUCAAAAUGUUUCAAAAGCUUUGAAACGUUUUGAGUUUUGAAACCCAGGCUUGCUUGCAGCUGAACAGAAACUAGGGAGAGAGGGGGAAGGACUGAUCCAAUAUUUACACGUGUAGCUGGCCAGUGACUGAUCCUUCCCUGAGGUCUCUUCCAAUCCUGGUGCUCUGGGGGAGGGAUGGAAAAACUGCAUAAAAAGCAUUGUUUGAACUGAGCUUUCUCUGGGCCUUGGGGUCAGCUUACUGAGCUGUGUCUUUCAGCAGCAUCAGCACCUAUGCACCUAUCUCCUUGAAACCCAGCAGGCUUCAUGGCUUCAGCAGGGGCUGCCAUGCCUGCUGUUUUCACCCCGUUACACCUUAACACACACGCAUGACACAAGUUUUGCUUGUCAGCACUUCGAGGUGCAGUUUCCCAGAAACCCUUGCACCUAUCUCCUUGAAGCUUGGCAGGCUUCGUGGCCUCAGCAGGGGCUACCAUCCCUGAUGUUUUCAUUCAAAUCAGGAAAGAAAUGUCAAAGUUAUAGGCACUUUCAUGAUUCCCCAUUAUAGCCUCUGGGCAAAACGUCAAAAUGCAUUGAAACGCGAGGAAAAAGCAAAAUUGUUUAAAUGAAACAAAACUAAACAAUGCUUCAAAACAGUGAAAUGAAACAUUGUCCCUUCAAAAUGGCGAAAUGGAAGUUGAAAUGAAACGGUGCUGUUUCGCACAGCCCUACUUUAUAUGUUUUUUCUACAUACCUUGAGGUAGGUACCAGGCGCGGCUCGUGAACGCUGUGAUGGUGGGGCAGAUGGAGCAUCCCACAGGAGCAUGGGAUGGCCCCCUGCAUGCUUGGUGGUGGGCCCCCCCCACCCCUGCGCCCUCCCAGCUUGGCAAUCGGCUUUGGGGGGACCCCGGGUGUCCCCCCAGACCCAGGAGGCACCAGUUGCCAACCUGGGGAAUGGGUGAGGUCCCCUGCGUGCUUUGUGGUGGACCUGGAAGUGGACCAGAAGUGCUUCUGUUCCACUUCCAGAUCUGCUGCCGAGCACAUAGGGGACCCCCUGCGCUCCCAUGGGAUGCUCUAUCCACCCCACCAUCUCAGCAUUCAUGAGCUGUGUCUGGUACCUUGAGGUAUGUAGAAAAAACAUAUAAAGCUGUCUAUGGCCAAAUCAUUGAGUCUUCCCAAAUCAAUUCGGAGGCUUUUGAUUCAAUUUGGAGAGAUUAAUUCCUGAUUCGAUUUGGAUUCAGAGAUUCAGCUGCCAGAUCAGGCCGAGUCUCCUCCGAAUUGAAUCAGCGACUGAAGCCUCACACAGCCCUACAAGCUGUGUGCGAGCCUCGAGGUAAAUGUCCUCCCUCUUUCUCCCCCUACCCGGUGAUGGGCACGUUGCAGUGGUUUAGGUACACAACAGCACAGGGGAAAUGUGCAUAAAAUGUAUUUUCAUUGAAUGACAUUUUUCAAUACUCCUGUGACCAUUUCAGUUAACAAGGUUGAAGCCUUAUUUUCACAUCCUACAUAAGACUAACCUAUUUGCUGUCUAGGCUCAAAAUGUUGGUGAUCAAAAUACUGACUCAGGCAGCAAUAUCUUUCAGCCCGGUGAAAGCAUAAUGAAUGCAAAAUUAAGCUUGAAUUAAAAUUGUUUUUCACAGAGCAUUUACAAGGAAAGGUUGAAGCCCAGGGUAACAUCUUGGAUCUACUGAAUCUAUGAUUUUUGUCCUUGACUUCAUUGGAGCCCGGAUUUGACCGGAGGUUUUCCUUCAAGGUAAUGAGGAUUUCUUCCAUUGUUCAUUGAAUGAACAAAAGUGAGUGCUCUGUUGUUCUUAUUCAGCUAGUUAUGCAGCAUGCCAAGACAGAUUCUUAUCUGAUGACAUACAGCUGCUCCUCCAUUUGCUGUAUCCUGCCAGUGCAUAUUUCUGUGGACUGUUUCCGGUCUCAAAUGUGUGAAUAGAUUUUUAAAAUGGUCACUCACAGUAUGUUUCCUUGUGAAAUACUCUGUGGACAGUAAGCAAAUAGGGCUAGAGCCAAAAAAUUGUCAGUCUUUGGUUCCAAAAUUCAUUUAUAGCCACUGAGCAGAAAGAUGCUUUAGAGGUCAGGUGUACUGCACCAAAAUAGACAACCUCUGUGGUUUGUGUAGUUGACUGUAUAAAGUGUAAUUGGCUGAAGUACGUGCAAAGAAGUAUCUGGUGUGACAUAUGUGCCUGCCAGCUACAGGUGAUAUUCAAGGUUAACAAUAAAAAUGUUCCUCUUUUGUGUGGUCAAGUUGCCUGCUGUGCUACUGCCACCUGGAAACAGAGGAAAUGUCUGCUGGAGUGAAAAGGCACUAGGGUGUCAAUCUGUCCAGAGCAGGCUGUAUCGUUAAAAAUGUCAUUGCAGUUUAUCUCACUAAAUGCCAAAUAGAGAUUUGCAACAAUGCCACAAGGGGACACCCUAACAACACACAUUACUCAAGCACAACUAAAUAUACCUAGAGAUGUGUGGUGUGGGGAAAAAAAGAAAGAAAGAAAGAAAAAUGGCAUAUCCUAAACAGGAUGGAGUAUUUGCAAACACAGAAUGAAAAUGCUUGUAACAAUUGCCUAUGGAUUGGGAAGAAGGGAAAUUGUAAGGCUGAUUUUCAGAUUUCUUUUACUUUUUUGAAGUGAGUCCAUCUUAUGCUUUCCUGUUUCUCAGCAUUUUAGUAAACGGCGAAAGCAGCAGUCAGAAUGUGCUUCUGGCCCAUGUAGUAAAUGCCACAUUAAUGGAAAUAGCAAAACAAACUGCUGCUAAUCAGCAUAUAUUCUACUAUUUCAGUGCAGUAUCAGUGUUGCAGAAACUUGCAAUAUGGCCCACCAACAGCAGCAGGCCCAUCAGUUAUCCUUUCUUACUGAGGCAACUAUUUAAAGCCUUGAUUCAACAAGGCUUUUCCUUUUUGGAAACCACAAUCAAUAUCUGAGAUGGCAAAAUUUAAACCACCAUAUACAAGAAAGCCCCAGAUGAAACAUACAUAUCUAUACAGACCCAGUGAUCACCCUAAAUGCACCAAGAAAGCUAUAAUUUGCAGCCAAGCUCUCCGAUACCACCGAAUUUGCAAGGAGCAUACCCAUAAUCGCCACCUCACAAAUCUCAAAAGGGCCUUCAGCCAACAAGGACACUCCUCAAAAGAGAGAGAUCGCACUUUUGAAAGAGCCACCCAGAGACCAUGAGAAGAUUUGCUGCAGUACAAAAAGAAAAUCCCCACAAAUUGCACACCAUUAGUUAUGACAUAUCAUCCUUCCCUGGAACCUACACGGAAAAUCUUCAAACAAUUGCAAGCCAUGCUAGAAGAAGACCCCAUUCUUAAAGAGAUCUUCCCAGAACCACCCAUCCUAGCUUUUAAACAAGCACCAAACCUCACUAACCUCAUCACCAGAAGUAAACUCCCUAUGACCCAAACCACAGCUAAUGGAUCCAGACUGCCAGGACAAAAAAAUGCAAAACCUGCCAACAUAUAUCCACCACCCCCACAAUUACUACACCCCACAACAGAACCAUCACCAUUCCUGGAUCUUACACCUGCAGCUCCAGAAAUAUGCUGUAUCUCAUCCAGUGCACCAAAUGCCCUGAUGGAAAAUAUGCAGGAGAAACCAAACAACAACUGCGCACCAGAAUGAACGCACACCCAAAAACCAAUCAAAGACAGCAAUACCCAACUACCUGUUGGUGCCCACUUCUCGCAGGACAAUCACUCCCUCUCUGAUCUCAGUUCUAACCCUCAAAGGGAACUUACAAAAUACCUUUUGUAGAUGAGCCUAUGAACUUUCUAUAUAUAAAAGGCUUAGUCUGUC
This is an RNA transcript of Alligator mississippiensis (American alligator), 9608 nucleotides long. RefSeq lists it as uncharacterized. The transcript is spliced from 2 exons. NCBI's taxonomy places the organism in Eukaryota, Metazoa, Chordata, Crocodylia, Alligatoridae. The record is from RefSeq and is a predicted model, not a curated record.